RNAcentral lists this transfer RNA (66 nucleotides) under Heterosternuta allegheniana. Its description in RNAcentral is "tRNA-Tyr". Lineage: Eukaryota; Metazoa; Arthropoda; Insecta; Coleoptera; Dytiscidae. The record is from RNAcentral.
GGUAAAAUGGCUGAAUUUAGGUAAUAAAUUGUAAAUUUAUUUAUGAAGAUUAUUCUUCUUUUACCA